UACUAUAAAUUAUGAGCACCCGCAAAAAAAUUGAAUUCCACAAAUAAUACCAAUUACAAUAUAUUAAAUAAAUUCUAAACAUUUACAUUCUCAUCAAGCACAAAAUUUAAAUCUUAAAUUGAUUUGUCGGGCUCCUCCUUAUUAAGAGGAGUACCCUCCAAAAAUUAACGUAUGCUGUUUAAUGUGGAGAGCACACAGCAUUCUUCUAUUCUCAGUCCUAUAGUAAGGCUAUCUCCAACAGCCCUUAGGCUAUCGGCUAUCUCCAGCAGCCCUUAGGCUAUCAUAAGCAGUCUCUUUGCUGCUAUAAAUAAAAGGUGCAUUGUAUAUGCACCAAAUGCUGGCCUAAGAAUAUAGGGCGGAAGAAUAGUUAGCUGUGUGCUCACCACGCAGCUGCGUGAUGGGAACCUGAGAACUUCGCCCUCUUUAUGUAGGCGGCCUCUCUUCUGCCUCCUCCUUCCGCGAGGCGAUCUGGUGCUAUUCCGUCCACUCCACGCCACAUUUGCUUCGCAUGGAUAUGAUGGGCUGCCUUGUCGCCUUCUGCGGCCCACAAGAUGCGUCUCGCUCGCAGAAUCGGAACUAUCCCGUUGCGUUUACGUGAGAGGCCGGGGCGUUUACGUACUUUGAUUAGAAAGAGUGGUGGACACAAACGCGAACGCUGUCGAUGUGGCGCUGUGCUGGUGUCCUUGUCCUUGCCCGGGACAGAAACAGAACCUUCUAGAGCUCCAACAGAAGCUUCUCCACACUUGGCGCUUCUAUCGAUCCACCUAUCCACUCAGCUCUCCAGGCCGGAGCUCAUAUAUCUCUCCCACCCGCGCUCGCCCUGCGUGUGCGAGUUUGACGGCGGCGACGACCGGCGAUGGUGGUGCUCACGGAGGAGUUUCACGGCGGCCUUUCGUUGAAGCGGAAGGGCGCCCACGAGCCGGGCCUCUUCGACGUCGACGCCGGCGCCACCAAGAUGCGGCGCCUCGCGUGUCCCGACGGCCCUCGCGGCGGGGCCGACCAGGCCGUGACGGCGGCGUGGGAGGAUGACGUUGCGAUGGGCGACGCGGCGCCGGCGGCGACGUCUCCUUCGCCCAGCGACGACGGGAGGGCGGUGGUGGUGUACAGAGACGGAGACGGAGAAAGCGUCAGAGGCAGCUGCAGCAGUAGGCGGAUCGGGAUCGACGCCCCGCGCCUCGCGCUGCGCGACGGCACCGGCGCGGGCGCGGACUGGAUCCGCGCCAUGCUCCGGGAGGCGGACAGCAGGACGGUGCGGCAGCUGCUCGCCGGCGCCGCCAAGGAACAUGGCUCCGAUCCUGACCUCGCCCUGGCCGUCGUGCCCUGGGUGGCUCCGGCGCCGGCGGAGGCGGAGGCGGAGGACGGCGAUGACCGCGAGGCGGCGAUGGACGUCGAGGGAGAUCCACCUAUCCACUCAGCUCUCCAGGCCGGAGCUCAUAUAUCUCUCCCACCCGCGCUCGCCCUGCGUGUGCGAGUUUGACGGCGGCGACGACCGGCGAUGGUGGUGCUCACGGAGGAGUUUCACGGCGGCCUUUCGUUGAAGCGGAAGGGCGCCCACGAGCCGGGCCUCUUCGACGUCGACGCCGGCGCCACCAAGAUGCGGCGCCUCGCGUGUCCCGACGGCCCUCGCACACACGGCGCGUCCACCCAGGCUGUCGGGCCGCGACACACGCGCCCGCACGUAUAGCAGCGGGCUUUAGAUCUCUUGGGCCAACACUCCCCCCAAAAAGCUAGCCUGAUAGGGGGUUGUACCCUCAACCAUAUAAAUCAUGCUUUUCCACUCUCACCAGACAAUGUGGGACUAUUCCCAACAAUCUCCCCCUCACACAUUGUGAGCCGAGAUUUGUCUUGAGAAUGCACUGGGCCAACCUGGCUCUGAUACCAAUUGUUGGAACCGGACCGCCGACACAUGGCGCGUCCGUCAGGGCCGCUCGCACACACGGCGCGCCCAUCCAGGCUGUCGGUCCGCGACACACGCGCCCGCACGUAUAGCAGCGGGCUUUAGGUCUCUUGGGCCAACACUCCCCCCAAAAAGCUAGCCUCAUAGGGAGUUGUACCCUCAACCAUAUAAAUCAUGCUUUUCCACUCUCACCAGACAAUGUGCGACUAUUCCCAACAAUGAUGAGUCGAGAAGGCAGGAAAGUCGGCCCUGGACCAGCCAUGGCCAGGUGUACGACGCCGUUGCUGCGGAGGGGUUGGUGUACCGGUGGCCGCAGCUCUGCUGGGCGGCGGUGGCGCAGGCAGGCCCGGUGAUGUGGUCGUAGUGAACGGCGUCUGGUCAGACUGUUCGGCUGCCGAGUGAUACUUCGAGCUGGGACCGGCGGCCGGGCGCCAUUGUUGUCCGAUGGCAUGGGAAGCCUUCUCGAUCGCCAUUGCCGUAGACCGAUCAGGAUUAGAUUCGCCUGGUACAGGUGUGUGCUCGUCGUGAUUCAGAGCCAGAGCCAGAGAUGACGAUGCCAGCAAUUCUAUGAUGGUCGAUUUUCUUCGUUGUGUGCUCGUAGAGACAGAUGCAUUUCGACAAAGCCAAUACUGACAGCGUGUCAGCACUCGGUUCUACUUUGCACUUUGCAGUGAAGUACACAAGGAAUUCAGUUAUCACUUGUAUGCUCUAGCAUAGAUGUUAGAUGGGACAAUACCCUAUAGACAAGGAAUGUAAUUGGUUACAAAUUUCGGGACAAUAAAACGCUUGAA
Molecule: RNA transcript, 2688 nt
Organism: Zea mays
Lineage: Eukaryota; Viridiplantae; Streptophyta; Magnoliopsida; Poales; Poaceae
Gene name: protein-like pseudogene
Exons: 1
Source: RefSeq, marked validated